Mya arenaria is the source of this 2555-nucleotide long non-coding RNA. RefSeq lists it as uncharacterized. The transcript is spliced from 5 exons. NCBI's taxonomy places the organism in Eukaryota, Metazoa, Mollusca, Bivalvia, Myida, Myidae. The record is from RefSeq and is a predicted model, not a curated record.
GGAAACUUUUUAUCGAUAAAGUAUAUUAUACAGAUUACUCCGCCUAUAUUGAUCAUGAUCAUUUCACUUUUCGAUCGUCGCCAUUUUGUAAGCGCCCUGCCUAAAAGUGUCUCAUGGACUUCAGCUGGAUUAAAUGUGUAUUACCCGGGAGGAAUUGUGAAGAACCAACCAGACAGCCCGCCCGCCGAGCUGCCCAACCGGCCAAGCUUGACUUGGAGUUUGUGCAUGCCAACAUGCCGCCAUGCUGUUGUUGGUUAGUACUUCAAGAUCAUAUAAUGGAAAACUGUAUCCAAACUGAAGUAUAAACCAGCCUGAUUGCUGUAGCCACAGGGGAAUUUUAAAGGACAAGAACCAGUGCUGGUAAAAAUGUGGUCUCAUGUGGUUUUCCAUACCGGCGUUCAGCAAGGAUUUCAGAGAAAGGAAUACUGUCUCCAAAUCAUGAUGUGCCAAUAAGCUCCAGUUUGCUGCGCCUUUUUCCUCCCACCGGUAGUCCUGCAAUCUGAAUCAAGGAGAUGCAGCUCUGAAUCCAAUAUUUUAGAAGAAUGAAUAUAAAACUGAAGCCUUCAGGAAGUCAAUGCCACCAUGAUAUUAAUUUACUCAGCUCUGAUGUACUCAGCUGUGAUGUAAAAUGCCUUCAAGCCACUAUCCGAAGAACAUUCAGACGUUCUAAAUGGACCAUUGCCCUGUUGCCAUGGAAAUCAUUAUGAGGAAGAGCACACAAACUGUCACUUGUUUUGAAUAUGAGAUGUACCACGAACUGACCAUAAACUUUUCGGAUGCUCUGUUUAUUUCAUCAGCCAAUUUCGAUGUAAAUUUUACUGAAUAAUGACAAACAGUCUUACUCAUAAGCAUCUCUUACUCAUUCGUAUUCCACAACUAAACAUGCUUGCAAUUACACUGUGCCAUCUAUCAUAAUAUAGCAAUGCUGCAAUGACCACAUUUUUAUGUACCAGUUGUUGCUUUAUACUGAAACCUUUAUUGAAAAUAAACAUAAACACUGACAACACAUAAAUGUUCCAUUCAUACAUUUGUACAUUUUCUUUCAGUGUAUAUGUUGAUAAUGUUAAGACAUAUUUCAUGUGCAUUUACACAUGUGUUUAUUGCCAACCUCAUAAAAACAUGCAAAGUUUGCUCACAUACAUAUUUCCAACACAGACAUUUACUGAAUGUAUUACUACUUUACGUUGAUUUUGAUAUGUAAAUAAAACAUUGUACUUCUCGUUUGUACAAAACACUUUUCAUUUGCUAUGUUGUUUGUUUCCAUGUUCUGUCUGCAUACAGAUGAUAUUUUCAUAUCAAUUUUUAGCUUGACUAUUCGUAGAAUAUGGAGAGCUAUACUACACACCCAAGUGUCGGCGUUGGCGUCACACCUUGGUUAAGGUUUUGUGUGCAAGCACACAUAGGUUAAUAUCUAAGUUACUUCUUGAGGUAUCGGAUUGAGACUUGAUACAAUGGUACUCAACCAUCCAACCUACUUAAUUAACCAAGUUAGAUAACUCUACUUUCCAUUUAAUGCAAAUUACCCGGUAUAGGCUUUUAUUAUUUGACUUAGAAAUUCUGGUUAAGGUUUUGCGUGCAAGCACACAUAGGUAAAUGUCUCAUAAGUACUUGAGGUAUUGCAUUGAGACUUGAUACAAUGGUACUCAACCAUCCAACCUACUUAAUUAACAAAGUUAGAUAACUGUAGUUUGCAUUUAAUCCAAAUAAUAGGACUUAAUUAUUCGACUUAGAUAUUCUGAUUAAGGUUUUGUGUGCAAGCACACAUUAUAUAAAUAUCAAAGCAACUACUUGAUGUAUUGCAUUGAUACUCCUACAAUUGUACUCAACCAUCAAACUUCCCCAUGUAAGAUAGCUCUAGUUUCAUUUAAUGCAAUUAGUUGCCCUUUAUUAUUCGACAUAGAAAUUCUAGUUAAAGUUUUGCAUGUAAGCACACAUAGGUAAAUUUCUCAGCAACUACACGAUGUAUUGCAUUGAGACUUUAUAGAAUGGUAUUCAACCACUCAAUGUCAUUGAAUAACCAAGAUAUAUAACUGUAUUUUGCAAAUAAUUGCCCUUUAUUAUUAGACAAACAUUCUGGUUGAAAAUUUCCUAUAACCACAUUUAUGUUAAAAUCUCACCACAUGAAUUGCAUUGAAAUCUUAUCUUACAGCGAUCCAUGCAUGUUUCGCCAAAACUUUUUAAUCCUUCCACUGAACAGCAGCGGAAUAGUCAAGCCAGCUGUCUCUGUGACAGCUCUUGUUCAAAAUUAACGUGAUGUUUAUUUCCAAUGUGAAACCUAUCCCUUGAGAACAAUAUUAACAUCUUUUAGCAUACAUGCCUGGAUGAGUUUUAAAAAAUGACCAUAUUAUGCAUACUAACUGCAUGAAAAUAUACAAUGACAUACAUUUCGUAUCAACUUGUGUAUCUGUAUUUCCCUUUCAACUACUUCGAAAUAACAAACGUCCCAACCCUAGAAUGUUCAAACAUAUUCUACAUACAUUAUUUUUAUCUUACACUAUAUAUAUAUGUUCUAUAUGUAUAUAUCACGCCUAAUAAAAUUGAAGCCUGUCAACUCA